This is a non-coding RNA of Taeniopygia guttata (zebra finch), 2473 nucleotides long. The record is from RefSeq and is a predicted model, not a curated record. NCBI's taxonomy places the organism in Eukaryota, Metazoa, Chordata, Aves, Passeriformes, Estrildidae.
AGCUGGGUAAAAAAGAAGAAAAUUAGUUAUCUUGUGAACCUCUCAUUAACCACUAAUAAAGUACGUUACCUGCUUUUUUGCCUUUAUAAAUUACAGUUCUGGACCCAUCAUGAUCGUUUGUUCAUAAAAUGCCUCCUUGUAACAGCAUGGUCAAUCAAUUCUUUUAAUGGAUGUUCCUGAUGUACAGCCAGCUUUAGUAAUUACAUUUAAAGUGGCUUAAUUCAGAGCUGUGGCAAGACCCAGUGAAGAAUCCUGAUUUUAUCAGAAUUUAAAAGCCUGAAGACCUGUAAAGAAUGGUGUCUCCAUUAUCUGUCCUCAUUUGAGAAAAGCAGAUUGCAGGAUUAACUGAACUACUGCAUAAACAAAUUAAAUUUGUGUAGACAAUGACACAAAUGUUGUUCAUCAUUAAGAUUUCUGGAUUAAUAAAAGCCAGAAAAACAGGGCCACCACAGCGCUGCAAUAUGUUCUUUGUACUAGCGUGAUGAAGCUAAAUUGAAAUUAUUUCUAGGAGGAAGCUCUUGCAACUUUUUCCUUCAGUUACAGCAUUCACAACAGCAUUCUUCCAUGAAAAAGGAGGAAAAGGAUGGAGAGGGCACUGCUCCCCGUAGAAACUCAUGGCUGUAAAUAUAACUGGGGGCAGCCAGAUUACAAAGCUGUGAUUUACAUCCCUCUGUAAUGAAAGAUAAUUUUCACAGCUUGGGUGAGAUGCUCGGAGUGUAAUUCUUGUUGAUGUUCACAGUGGUCAGGAGGUGCCCCACACUCAUCUUCGUAAUGACCAAGCAGAUGUCAGCAGGCUGACCCGGGAAGUUGGAAGAGGGGGGCAUUUGUGUAGUUGCCACCAACAUUCAUGCCUUGGGAAUGGCAGCAGGACCCUGGCACUGCCCUCUGGAGCACAGGAACCUUCUUGCCUGGUUCAGCUGUGUGGCAUUUAAAAAACCAUCUCACCGUCUGUCCAAUGAACAAAAGCCUAAGGUGGAGUUGCUCAAAUGUAAUCCCAGUGUGCUAAUGGUGUGGGAUCCAGCAGAUUCCAGACAGCAGCAGGGCAUUCUAAUGUUCCUCUUAACGAACAACCACUCUUCAUUUCAGAAGGUUUGGGUUAAAACCAGCAUUUCCAUGUAGCAUGCAUUUCAUGUUUAAAUAAUCACUGAUUAUCCAGCCUGUAAGUAAUUAAAUCCUCUCUACCUUUCAACAAUAAUGCUGAAAACAUUAAAUGUUAUUCUUUUCCUUAAUGCAUUUGUUGUAUUGCGAGCUUUAUUAGCAUUGAGUCAACAAACAGUCCAGUGCGGUGUUUCUGCUUAACAGAUCACCUUCAUCCUAAUGUUAACAGCACCAGGAUGUGGGAGUUGAACUUCAGUGGAAAAACCCAAAUGGUUACUUCGAAAUAAGUGAAUGCAGCUCAAAGUACUUUUGGGCAUUUAGCUUGUACACCCAAUAUGAAAAUGCAAUGUGAAAAUAAAAGACAGGGCUUGCAGAGAGCAGCCAAGGAAACAUCUGGUGCUGUUAUCCAUGUUUACUGUAUCUGGGUGGAUUUUCCAAAGCUUCUCAGGGAAAGGGAGCCUGACUCCCUUCACAUAUUCCUGCAGCAUGUUUGGCAGCCUCAUGUUCCAUGGCCUGUGCAGUACCUCGUGCAGCUGAAGCUCUGCCACUUUAUGUGAUUUUCUGCAGGGUGCCCACCUCCUGCACAUCAACACACAGGCCUGAUGAGAACUGCCUGCCAAUCUCCACAGAUCCAUGCAUGGAUCACCUGUUCCCUUCCUCAGUGAAAACUGAAUCCUACCUGCAUUCUGGCACUGGGGAAAAAACAUUCCCUUGUGACUACAAUUCACCUAAACCCCCCGUGCUUUUUUGUACUACGCAAAAGUACUGCUGUAAAACCCACUCCCCCAUCUCCUUCUUGCUGAAGAGUCCUGGUCAUGUCUGCUGGGGGCUUCUCCGCCCUCAUGGUACCCAAGUGUCCAAGAUUGAAAGGCAAGAUGUUUUCUAGUACCAUCUGUGUAGCAGUUGCCCUCUGGGCAGUUUUCCUCAUCUCCUGUUAAUGGGCCCAUCAACGUCUUGCCACAUGACUCAGAGAUAACACUCUCCAGGAGCCAGUUCUGUGAUCAAAGACACACCUGUGACUCAAAUGACAUCAGCCCAUUGUGAGAUGCUCCACCCAGGGGGGAGGAGAUAAGCAUUCCCACCUAGAUAUAGCCUGAGAUUUCUAGACAGAGAAGCAGCCUUCCCAUAGGUUUCCAAGAGGACACAGCUGGGGUUUUCCACUGGACCGACUACACCAUUUCCACAGGACCACUGCACAAACAGAAACCACAUCUGCCACUCCAAGAGGACUGCAGCCACUCCAAUUUGAACUGCUACCAACACUCUGGCCAAAGGAGUGUCAAGUUGUAUUCUGACUUUGUCGGUGGUCUUCCUUUUUUGUAUCAUUGCAUGUAUUUUGUCUCUUUUCCCUUUUUCCAAUAAAUUGUAUUUCUGA